AAUCAACGCUGGCGGCGUGCCUCAGACAUGCAAGUCGUACGAUUAAAGCUCUCUUCGGAGAGUGUAUAGAGUGGCGCACGGGUGAGUAACACGUAAGUAAUCUACCUUCGAGUGGGGAAUAACAGUCGGAAACGACUGCUAAUACCGCAUAAUGCAGCGGCACCUAAUGGUGACAGUUGUUAAAGCAUUUAUGUGCUUGAAGAGGAGCUUGCGGCAGAUUAGCUAGUUGGUAAGGUAAUGGCUUACCAAGGCAACGAUCUGUAGCCGACCUGAGAGGGUGGUCGGUCACACUGACACUGAAUAACGGGUCAGACUCCUACGGGAGGCAGCAGUCGGGAAUUUUGGGCAAUGGGCGAAAGCCUGACCCAGCAACGCCGCGUGAAGGAUGAAGUAUUUCGGUAUGUAAACUUU
This 411-nucleotide ribosomal RNA is filed under the name uncultured bacterium. RNAcentral describes it as "bacterial SSU rRNA". It matches the Rfam family "Bacterial small subunit ribosomal RNA", at positions 32 to 433 of the family's 1533-position model. The record is from RNAcentral.